Molecule: ribosomal RNA, 1024 nt
Filed under: uncultured bacterium
Lineage: Bacteria
Description: bacterial SSU rRNA
Rfam family: Archaeal small subunit ribosomal RNA
Source: RNAcentral
GGGGGGCAGCAGGCGCGAAAACUCCGCAAUGCGGGAAACCGUGACGGGGCCACCCCGAGUGCCGCCCGAAGAGGGCGGCUUUUGCCCGGUGCAAAAAGCCGGGCGAAUAAGCGGGGGGCAAGUCUGGUGUCAGCCGCCGCGGUAAUACCAGCUCCGCGAGUGGUCGGGGUGCUUACUGGGCCUAAAGCGCCCGUAGCCGGCCCGGUAAGUCGUCCCUGAAAUCCACGGGCUCAACCCGUGGGCUGGGGACGAUACUGCCGGGCUUGGGGGCGGGAGAGGCCGAGGGUACUCCCGGGGUAGGGGCGAAAUCCGAUAAUCCCGGGAGGACCACCAGUGGCGAAGGCGCUCGGCUGGAACGCGCCCGACGGUGAGGGGCGAAAGCUGGGGGAGCAAAGGGGAUUAGAUACCCCUGUAGUCCCAGCUGUAAACGAUGCGGGCUAGCUGUUGGGCGGGCUUAGAGCCCGCCCAGUGGCGGAGGGAAGCCGUUAAGCCCGCCGCCUGGGGAGUACGGCCGCAAGGCUGAAACUUAAAGGAAUUGGCGGGGGGGCACCACAAGGGGUGAAGCUUGCGGCUUAAUUGGAGUCAACGCCGGAAACCUUACCCGGGGCGACAGCAGGAUGAUGGCCAGGCUAACGACCUUGCCGGACGAGCUGAGAGGAGGUGCAUGGCCGUCGUCAGCUCGUGCCGUGAGGUGUCCGGUUAAGUCCGGCAACGAGCGAGACCCCCACCCCUAGUUGCUACCCGAUCUUCGGGAUCGGGGGCACACUAGGGGGACUGCCGGCGUAAGCCGGAGGAAGGAGGGGGCCACGGCAGGUCAGUAUGCCCCGAAACCCCGGGGCUGCACGCGAGCUGCAAUGGCGGGGACAGCGGGAUCCGACCCCGAAAGGGGGAGGAAAUCCCGUAAACCCCGCCCCAGUAGGGAUCGAGGGCUGUAACUCGCCCUCGUGAACGUGGAAUCCCUAGUAACCGCGUGUCACCAACGCGCGGUGAAUACGUCCCUGCCCCUUGCACACACCGCCCGUCA